UGCAAUCUACCUUUUACAGAGGGAUAGCCCAGAGAAAUUUGGAUUAAUACCUCAUAGUAUAUAGCCCUGGCAUCAGGAUUAUAUUAAAGUCACAACGGUAAAAGAUGAGCAUGCGUCCCAUUAGCUAGUUGGUAAGGUAACGGCUUACCAAGGCUACGAUGGGUAGGGGUCCUGAGAGGGAGAUCCCCCACACUGGUACUGAGACACGGACCAGACUCCUACGGGAGGCAGCAGUGAGGAAUAUUGGACAAUGGGCGCAAGCCUGAUCCAGCCAUGCCGCGUGCAGGAUGACGGUCCUAUGGAUUGUAAACUGCUUUUAUACGAGAAGAAACACUCCUUCGUGAAGGAGCUUGACGGUAUCGUAAGAAUAAGGAUCGGCUAACUCCGUGCCAGCAGCCGCGGUAAUACGGAGGAUCCAAGCGUUAUCCGGAAUCAUUGGGUUUAAAGGGUCCGUAGGCGGUUUAAUAAGUCAGUGGUGAAAGCCCAUCGCUCAACGGUGGAACGGCCAUUGAUACUGUUAGACUUGAAUUAUUAGGAAGUAACUAGAAUAUGUAGUGUAGCGGUGAAAUGCUUAGAGAUUACAUGGAAUACCAAUUGCGAAGGCAGGUUACUACUAAUUGAUUGACGCUGAUGGACGAAAGCGUGGGUAGCGAACAGGAUUAGA
Molecule: ribosomal RNA, 664 nt
Filed under: Flavobacterium sp. B-R2A-5
Lineage: Bacteria; Pseudomonadati; Bacteroidota; Flavobacteriia; Flavobacteriales; Flavobacteriaceae
Description: bacterial SSU rRNA
Rfam family: Bacterial small subunit ribosomal RNA
Source: RNAcentral